GAUGAACGCUCGCUACAGGCUUAACACAUGCAAGUCGCGGGGCAGCAUGGGGGUUGCUUGCAAUCCCCGAUGGCGACCGGCGCACGGGUGAGUAACGCGUAUCCAACCUGCCCUUCACCACGGGAUAACCCGGCGAAAGUCGGACUAAUACCGUAUGUUGUCCAUUGACGGCCUCCGAUUUGGACGAAAGGUUUGGCGGUGAAGGAUGGGGAUGCGUCCGAUUAGCUGGACGGCGGGGUGACGGCCCACCGUGGCGACGAUCGGUAGGGGUUCUGAGAGGAAGGUCCCCCACACUGGAACUGAGACACGGUCCAGACUCCUACGGGAGGCAGCAGUGAGGAAUAUUGGUCAAUGGGCGUAAGCCUGAACCAGCCAAGUAGCGUGCAGGAUGACGGCCCUAUGGGUUGUAAACUGCUUUUAUGCGGGGAUAAAGUGGCCCACGUGUGGGUUUUUGCAGGUACCGCAUGAAUAAGGACCGGCUAAUUCCGU
RNAcentral lists this ribosomal RNA (489 nucleotides) under uncultured bacterium. Its description in RNAcentral is "partial 16S ribosomal RNA". It matches the Rfam family "Bacterial small subunit ribosomal RNA", at positions 28 to 506 of the family's 1533-position model. The record is from RNAcentral.